Molecule: ribosomal RNA, 2930 nt
Filed under: Proteus mirabilis
Lineage: Bacteria; Pseudomonadati; Pseudomonadota; Gammaproteobacteria; Enterobacterales; Morganellaceae
Description: 23S ribosomal RNA
Rfam family: Bacterial large subunit ribosomal RNA
Source: RNAcentral
GGGUUGUGAGGUUAAGCGAAUAAGCGUACACGGUGGAUGCCUAGGCAAUCAGAGGCGAUGAAGGACGUGCUAAUCUGCGAAAAGCGUCGGUAAGGUGAUAUGAACCGCUAUACCCGACGAUAUCCGAAUGGGGAAACCCAGUAUCCAAUGGAUACUAUCAUUAACUGAAUCCAUAGGUUAAUGAGGCGAACCGGGAGAACUGAAACAUCUCAGUACCCCGAGGAAAAGAAAUCAACCGAGAUUCCCCUAGUAGCGGCGAGCGAACGGGGAGCAGCCCAGAGUCUUAAUCAAUAGCAGUGUCAGGAGAACGGUCUGGAAAGUCCGGCAGUAAAGGGUGAUAGCCCCGUAUCUGAAGAUGCUGUUGUUGUGAACUCGACGAGUAGGGCGGGACACGUGUUAUCCUGUCUGAAUAUGGGGGGACCAUCCUCCAAGGCUAAAUACUCCUGAUUGACCGAUAGUGAACCAGUACCGUGAGGGAAAGGCGAAAAGAACCCCGGCGAGGGGAGUGAAAAAGAACCUGAAACCGUGUACGUACAAGCAGUAGGAGCCUCUUUAUGGGGUGACUGCGUACCUUUUGUAUAAUGGGUCAGCGACUUAUAUUCUGUAGCAAGGUUAACCGUAUAGGGGAGCCGUAGGGAAACCGAGUCUUAACUGGGCGAAUGAGUUGCAGGGUAUAGACCCGAAACCCGGUGAUCUAUCCAUGGGCAGGUUGAAGGUUGGGUAACACUAACUGGAGGACCGAACCGACUAAUGUUGAAAAAUUAGCGGAUGACUUGUGGAUGGGGGUGAAAGGCCAAUCAAACCGGGAGAUAGCUGGUUCUCCCCGAAAGCUAUUUAGGUAGCGCCUCGUGAAUUCAUCUUCGGGGGUAGAGCACUGUUUCGACUAGGGGGUCAUCCCGACUUACCAACUCGAUGCAAACUGCGAAUACCGAAGAAUGUUAUCACGGGAGACACACGGCGGGUGCUAACGUCCGUCGUGAAGAGGGAAACAACCCAGACCGCCAGCUAAGGUCCCAAAGUCAUGGUUAAGUGGGAAACGAAGUGGGAAGGCUCAGACAGCCAGGAUGUUGGCUUAGAAGCAGCCAUCAUUUAAAGAAAGCGUAAUAGCUCACUGGUCGAGUCGGCCCGCGCGGAAGAUGUAACGGGGCUAAACCAUGCACCGAAGCUGCGGCAGCGACACAUAGUGUUGUUGGGUAGGGGAGCGUUCUGUAAGCCUGCGAAGGUGUACUGUGAGGUAUGCUGGAGGUAUCAGAAGUGCGAAUGCUGACAUAAGUAACGAUAAUGCGGGUGAAAAACCCGCACGCCGGAAGACCAAGGGUUCCUGUCCAACGUUAAUCGGGGCAGGGUGAGUCGACCCCUAAGGCGAGGCUGAAAAGCGUAGUCGAUGGGAAACGGGUUAAUAUUCCCGUACUGGUGGUAACUGCGAUGGGGGAACGGAGAAGGCUAGGUUGUCCGGGCGACGGUCGUCCCGGUUCAAGCAGGUAGGCAGAGUGAUUAGGCAAAUCCGGUCACUUAAUGCUGAGAUGUGAUGACGAACCACCAAGGUGGUGAAGCAAUUGAUGCCCCGCUUCCAGGAAAAGCCUCUAAGCUUCAGGUUACCAACAAUCGUACCCCAAACCGACACAGGUGGUCAGGUAGAGAAUACUCAGGCGCUUGAGAGAACUCGGGUGAAGGAACUAGGCAAAAUGGUGCCGUAACUUCGGGAGAAGGCACGCUGGCGGUAGGUAAAGUCCCUCGCGGACGGCGCUGAAGCCAGUCGAAGAUACCAGCUGGCUGCAACUGUUUAUUAAAAACACAGCACUGUGCAAACACGAAAGUGGACGUAUACGGUGUGACGCCUGCCCGGUGCUGGAAGGUUAAUUGAUGGGGUUAGCGUAAGCGAAGCUCCUGAUCGAAGCCCCAGUAAACGGCGGCCGUAACUAUAACGGUCCUAAGGUAGCGAAAUUCCUUGUCGGGUAAGUUCCGACCUGCACGAAUGGCGUAAUGAUGGCCAGGCUGUCUCCACCCGAGACUCAGUGAAAUUGAACUCGCUGUGAAGAUGCAGUGUACCCGCGGCAAGACGGAAAGACCCCGUGAACCUUUACUAUAGCUUGACACUGAACAUUGAGCCUUGAUGUGUAGGAUAGGUGGGAGGCUUUGAAGUGUGGACGCCAGUCUGCAUGGAGCCAACCUUGAAAUACCACCCUUUAACGUUUGAUGUUCUAACCUAGGCCCAUAAACUGGGUCGGGGACCGUGUCUGGUGGGUAGUUUGACUGGGGCGGUCUCCUCCUAAAGAGUAACGGAGGAGCACGAAGGUUGGCUAAGCAUGGUCGGACAUCAUGCGGUUAGUGCAAAGGCAUAAGCCAGCUUGACUGCGAGAGUGACGGCUCGAGCAGGUACGAAAGUAGGUCUUAGUGAUCCGGUGGUUCUGAAUGGAAGGGCCAUCGCUCAACGGAUAAAAGGUACUCCGGGGAUAACAGGCUGAUACCGCCCAAGAGUUCAUAUCGACGGCGGUGUUUGGCACCUCGAUGUCGGCUCAUCACAUCCUGGGGCUGAAGUAGGUCCCAAGGGUAUGGCUGUUCGCCAUUUAAAGUGGUACGCGAGCUGGGUUUAGAACGUCGUGAGACAGUUCGGUCCCUAUCUGCCGUGGGCGUUGGAAGAUUGAGAGGGGUUGCUCCUAGUACGAGAGGACCGGAGUGAACGCACCACUGGUGUUCGGGUUGUCAUGCCAAUGGCAUUGCCCGGUAGCUAAGUGCGGAAGAGAUAACCGCUGAAAGCAUCUAAGCGGGAAACUUGCCUCGAGAUGAGUCUUCCCUGUCGCUUUAAGCGACCUAAAGGAACGUUUAAGACUAAGACGUUGAUAGGCUGGGUGUGUAAGCGUAGCGAUACGUUGAGCUAACCAGUACUAAUGAACCGUGAGGCUUAACCUGACAACACCGAAAGUGUUUUG